This 314-nucleotide long non-coding RNA is filed under the name Hordeum vulgare. RNAcentral's name for it is "long non-coding RNA (HVUL_LNC004476)". The record is from RNAcentral. Lineage: Eukaryota; Viridiplantae; Streptophyta; Magnoliopsida; Poales; Poaceae.
UUUGCUGUUUUAAUAUCUUGCAGCCCUGAUUGUCGUAGCUGUGUGGUGUGCCUUGCACAUGAGAGUGUAUUUUCUUCUUACCUCCUCUCAAACCAGCAAGGGAGUGAUGCAUUUCUUAUGAUAGCUUUGUGGAUUCAUGCUUGUACUUGUGUGUGUGUUUAUAUACUUGGUAGGAGCAUGUGCAUGUUGUUUUGUUAACUUGUAAGGUUGUGUGCAUGAGGUUGUGUGAGCUUGCACUAGGGCAGCAUGUGUAGAUACUUCUCAUGAGAUUUAGUGAAGUGAUGUGGUUUGUGCUUGUGAUCUCAAGAGUGUGG